This 67-nucleotide transfer RNA is filed under the name Engaeus cunicularius. Its description in RNAcentral is "tRNA-Glu". The record is from RNAcentral. Lineage: Eukaryota; Metazoa; Arthropoda; Malacostraca; Decapoda; Parastacidae.
UUUUUUUAUAGUGUAAAAAUACACAUUACACUUUCAUUGUAAAAUUGAAGGGAAUCCUUCUGAAACA